Molecule: ribosomal RNA, 432 nt
Filed under: uncultured organism
Description: bacterial SSU rRNA
Rfam family: Bacterial small subunit ribosomal RNA
Source: RNAcentral
AACGAACGCUGGCGGCAGGCUUAACACAUGCAAGUCGAGCGAAGACUUCGGUCUUAGCGGCGGACGGGUUAGUAACGCGUGGGAACGUGCCCUUCACUACGGAAUAGCCUCGGGAAACUGAGAGUAAUACCGUAUACGCCCUUCGGGGGAAAGAAUUUCGGUGAGGGAUCGGCCCGCGUUAGAUUAGAUAGUUGGUGGGGUAAUGGCCUACCAAGUCUACGAUCUAUAGCUGGUUUGAGAGGAUGAUCAGCAACACUGGGACUGAGACACGGCCCAGACUCCUACGGGAGGCAGCAGUGGGGAAUCUUGGACAAUGGGCGCAAGCCUGAUCCAGCCAUGCCGCGUGAGUGACGAAGGCCUUAGGGUCGUAAAGCUCUUUCAGCUGUGAAGAUAAUGACGGUAGCAGCAGAAGAAACCCCGGCUAACUCCGUG